RNAcentral lists this ribosomal RNA (497 nucleotides) under uncultured bacterium. RNAcentral describes it as "partial 16S ribosomal RNA". It matches the Rfam family "Bacterial small subunit ribosomal RNA", at positions 28 to 507 of the family's 1533-position model. The record is from RNAcentral.
GAUGAACGCUGGCGGCGUGCCUAAUACAUGCAAGUCGAGCGAACAGACGAGGAGCUUGCUCCUCUGACGUUAGCGGCGGACGGGUGAGUAACACGUGGAUAACCUACCUAUAAUACUGGUAUAACUUCGGGAAACCGGAGCUAAUACCGUAUAAUAUAUUGAACCGCAUGGUUCAAUAGUGAAAGACGGUUUUGCUGUCACUUAUAGAUGGAUCCGCGCCGCAUUAGCUAGUUGGUAAGGUAACGGCUUACCAAGGCAACGAUGCGUAGCCGAACUGAGAGGGUGAUCGGCCACACUGGAACUGAGACACGGUCCAGACUCCUACGGGAGGCAGCAGUAGGGAAUCUUCCGCAAUGGGCGAGAGCCUGACGGAGCAACGCCGCGUGAGUGAUGAAGGUCUUCGGAUCGUAAAACUCUGUUAUUAGGGAAGAACAAAUGUGUAAGUAACUAUGCACGUCUUGACGGUACCUAAUCAGAAAGCCACGGCUAACUACGUG